Long non-coding RNA from Felis catus (domestic cat), 581 nucleotides. RefSeq lists it as uncharacterized. The transcript has 2 exons. NCBI's taxonomy places the organism in Eukaryota, Metazoa, Chordata, Mammalia, Carnivora, Felidae. The record is from RefSeq and is a predicted model, not a curated record.
AUUAAGUUUUCCCUCUUCUCCUUCCUACCCUUCUUUCUUUUUCUGUAUUUCUAAGGAAGAAGAAAGGAGUUCACCAGUCAAAGAGAAUGAGGCUACUCACAGAGCAGUCAGUGAACUAGCUCAGUGAUGCUUUUCAAAUGGAAGGCUUCUUCAGGACAGAUCUGCUGACCACAAAAUCUGAGACAGUAAUUUCUGAGCUUAGCAACGAUAUUUGAAAGAAAUGGGACAAUGAGAGCACCAAAGAAGCCUGAACCAGCCUGCAGUUGGGAGAGAUGACAGCUCAAGACACUAUUUUAUUCUUCUAGCAUAAAUAAGCCAGAACUAUAAGAAGUAAGCAUCAUGCGGUACACAUUGAAUCCAUUAAUUCAUUCAGUCCCUCAACAAAUAUUAUUGAACAGCCAUUAUAUGCCAGGAACCACUGUAUGUGGUGAGGAGACAGCAGUGACAGAGCAAAGGGAUAUCCCUGCUUCAUGGAGCUUGGGAGAAAAACAGAAGCUACUUGUUAGUAUCUGCUUGUAGAACUUUGUACAGUACUGAGAACACAGUAGGAGCCAAAUAAAUACUGAUGAUUUAAUUAAUGA